This 423-nucleotide ribosomal RNA is filed under the name uncultured prokaryote. RNAcentral describes it as "bacterial SSU rRNA". It matches the Rfam family "Bacterial small subunit ribosomal RNA", at positions 355 to 774 of the family's 1533-position model. The record is from RNAcentral.
UGGGGAAUCAUGGUCAAUGGGCGAAAGCCUGAACCAGCCAUCCCGCGUGCAGGAAGACGGCCCUAUGGGUUGUAAACUGCUUUUCCAGGGGGGGAAACUCUCGUACGUGAUACGGGAUUGACGGUACCCUGGGAAUAAGCAUCGGCUAACUCCGUGCCAGCAGCCGCGGUAAUACGGAGGAUGCAAGCGUUAUCCGGAUUCAUUGGGUUUAAAGGGUGCGUAGGCGGACUAUUAAGUCAGUGGUGAAAUCCUGCAGCUUAACUGCAGAACUGCCGUUGAUACUGAUAGUCUUGAGUUUGGUUAAGGUAGGCGGAAUGUGUAAUGUAGCGGUGAAAUGCUUAGAUAUUACACAGAACACCGAUUGCGUAGGCAGCUUACUGAGCCGACACUGACGCUGAGGCACGAAAGCGUGGGGAUCGAACA